GUUGCCGCAACAGACACAGCGAGGACAAAAAAGCUUUUUGCUUUGCCAUCCGGCGGGCGCAAUGCAAAAAGAAAAGCGGAUUCACAGGAUCGGGCGGGUUGACUCCGAGGAAGUGGCUAAGAACGCAUGGCUUCGUGAAGCUAACCACGGUGAGGCCGACUAGGAGGACGUAGUCCACGGCGUGCACCGGGGGAGUAUCCAUCACAGAGACACCGGGGCACUUUGCGGGAGGUCAGUAGGCCUUUCCUGUCUCUCCACACUUCACGCAUCCGUUAAAAAAAAAGAAAGAAAAGAAGUGCAUGACGAGCAGUGGAAUCAAACCUCUCUUCGGCCGCAGCAGCCCAAUGCUCUAACCACAAGGUCACGGUCGCUUCUUUUUCUUUUUCUUCAGUCUCUUCUUGGUAUAAAUAAAGCAUCAC
Dermacentor albipictus is the source of this 419-nucleotide non-coding RNA. Lineage: Eukaryota; Metazoa; Arthropoda; Arachnida; Ixodida; Ixodidae. The record is from RefSeq and is a predicted model, not a curated record.